RNAcentral lists this ribosomal RNA (496 nucleotides) under uncultured bacterium. RNAcentral's name for it is "bacterial SSU rRNA". It matches the Rfam family "Bacterial small subunit ribosomal RNA", at positions 29 to 518 of the family's 1533-position model. The record is from RNAcentral.
AUGAACGCUAGCGACAGGCCUAACACAUGCAAGUCGAGGGGCAGCACAAGGAGCAAUCUGAGGUGGCGACCGGCGCACGGGUGAGUAACACGUAUGCAACCUGCCUGUAAGCGGGGAAUAACCCGUUGAAAGACGGACUAAUACCGCAUAAUACUAAAUUACUGCAUGGUAAUUUAUUUAAACAUUUAUGGCUUACAGAUGGGCAUGCGCACGAUUAGCUAGUUGGAGAGGUAACGGCUCCCCAAGGCAACGAUCAUUAGGGGUUCUGAGAGGAAGGUCCCCCACACUGGUACUGAGACACGGACCAGACUCCUACGGGAGGCAGCAGUGAGGAAUAUUGGUCAAUGGACGAGAGUCUGAACCAGCCAGGUCGCGUGCAGGAAGAAUGUCCUUAAUGGAUUGUAAACUGCUUUUGCAGGGGAAUAAAGUGCAUCACGUGUGAUGUUUUGUAUGUACUCUGCGAAUAAGGAUCGGCUAACUCCGUGCCAGCAGCUGC